UGGGGAAUCUUGCACAAUGGGGGCAACCCUGAUGCAGCGACGCCGCGUGAGCGAUGAAGCCCUUCGGGGCGUAAAGCUCUUUCGACCGGAACGAUAAUGACGGUACCGGGAGAAGAAGCUGCGGCUAACUACGUGCCAGCAGCCGCGGUAAUACGUAGGCAGCAAGCGUUGUUCGGAGUUACUGGGCGUAAAGAGUGCGUAGGCGGUUUUCUAAGUUCGGUGUGAAAUCUCCCGGCUUAACGGGGAGGGUGCGCCGAAGACUGGGAAGCUGGAGUGUGGGAAAGGCAGGCGGAAUUCCUGGUGUAGCGGUGAAAUGCGUAUAUAUCAGGAGGAACACCUGCGGUGUAGACGGCUUGCUAGACCAUAACUGACGCUGAGGCACGAAAGCGUGGGUAGCAAACA
This 402-nucleotide ribosomal RNA is filed under the name uncultured bacterium. RNAcentral describes it as "bacterial SSU rRNA". It matches the Rfam family "Bacterial small subunit ribosomal RNA", at positions 355 to 774 of the family's 1533-position model. The record is from RNAcentral.